This 455-nucleotide ribosomal RNA is filed under the name uncultured Methanolinea sp. RNAcentral describes it as "bacterial SSU rRNA". It matches the Rfam family "Archaeal small subunit ribosomal RNA", at positions 883 to 1338 of the family's 1478-position model. The record is from RNAcentral. Lineage: Archaea; Methanobacteriati; Methanobacteriota; Methanomicrobia; Methanomicrobiales; Methanoregulaceae.
AACGGUGGAGCCUGCGGUUUAAUUGGACUCAACGCCGGGCAGCUCACCGGAUAAGACAGCUGGAUGAUAGCCGGGCUGAAGACUCUGCUUGACUAGCUGAGAGGAGGUGCAUGGCCGUCGUCAGUUCGUACUGUGAAGCAUCCUGUUAAGUCAGGCAACGAGCGAGACCCACGCCAACAGUUGCCAGCAUGUCCUCCGGGAUGAUGGGGACACUGUUGGGACCGCCUCUGCUAAAGAGGAGGAAGGAAUGGGCAACGGUAGGUCAGCAUGCCCCGAAUUAUCCGGGCUACACGCGGGCUACAAUGGUCAGGACAAUGGGUAUCGACACCGAGAGGUGGAGGCAAUCUCCUAAACCCAUCCGUAGUUCGGAUUGUGGGCUGCAACUCGCCCACAUGAAGCUGGAAUCUGUAGUAAUCGUGUCUCAAAAUGGCACGGUGAAUAUGCCCCUGCUCCUU